GUCCACGCCGUAAACGGUGGGCGCUAGGUGUGGGUUCCUUCCACGGGAUCUGUGCCGUAGCUAACGCAUUAAGCGCCCCGCCUGGGGGAGUACGGCCGCAAGGCUAAAACUCAAAGGAAUUGACGGGGGCCCGCACAAGCGGCGGAGCAUGUGGAUUAAUUCGAUGCAACGCGAAGAACCUUACCUGGGUUUGACAUACACCGGAAAGCCGUAGAGAUACGGCCCCCCUUGUGGUCGGUGUACAGGUGGUGCAUGGCUGUCGU
RNAcentral lists this ribosomal RNA (263 nucleotides) under uncultured bacterium. RNAcentral describes it as "partial 16S ribosomal RNA". It matches the Rfam family "Bacterial small subunit ribosomal RNA", at positions 793 to 1055 of the family's 1533-position model. The record is from RNAcentral.